Molecule: non-coding RNA, 110 nt
Organism: Acanthosepion pharaonis
Lineage: Eukaryota; Metazoa; Mollusca; Cephalopoda; Sepiida; Sepiidae
Source: the annotation of a GenBank genome assembly
AGGACCAUACCAUGUCGAAACACCGGUUCUCGUACGAUCACCGAAGUUAAGUAACGUCGAGCCUUGUCUGUACCUAGAUGGGUGACCACUUGGGAAUACCGGGUGGUGUA